RNAcentral lists this long non-coding RNA (599 nucleotides) under Phoenix dactylifera (date palm). RNAcentral describes it as "long non-coding RNA (PDAC_LNC004817)". The record is from RNAcentral. Lineage: Eukaryota; Viridiplantae; Streptophyta; Magnoliopsida; Arecales; Arecaceae.
UUAAAAUGGGAUUGUAAGCCUCUGUGACAAAGGGUACAGCCCCAUUAAAUCCCAUUAUCCUUCCAAGUCUUCUGUCUUCCGGCAGCAAGCAAGAAACCAGCAUGUACUCCCUCCUUACGGGCGUAAGUCCUUGGGACGGCGCCCGCGACAUUGCUCCCCUUUCAGAGCGUCGCCAUCACUGAAGCCCCCAUCGAGCUCAUGCAGACCGAGCUCAGAAAUCCGAGCGCAAAACACCUAAAAAAUCAAGCCAAAGAAGGCCGGUGCUGAACCAAGUCCUGAGGGACUUCGAAGCUCGAGAGCUAUCAAAAUAUCUCCAAAAGGUACAGGACGCCACUUUGGCUUCAAAUAAAUUCAAUAUUUUAUCUAUUUUCAGGUUAGCCAACGAGCUCGGCUCGUUCUCCUACCCUGACCACGGUCAGGAUGCCCUGAGACGUCAGGAUGCCCCAAUAUAUUGGGAUGCCCUGCCGCAACGGGAUGCCCCGAUCCGUCGGGAUGGCCCGAGACGUCGGGAUAUGAGUUAGCGGUCCUCUCUGACCGGACGAGCUCGGCUCGUGCUCCAUCGGCUUCCACCGUCGAGCUCGGCUCGUGCUCCCCGANNN